CUCCAUUUCGUUUCUAUACAAGUUUCGGUUGGUGCGUCGUCGGUUGCGUCCCCCCCGUCUUUUCCGGGCAAUCGCAUGCCGCAAGUUUCCCCAUUCGUGUGGUUUACCCGGCGUGCGCGCGCGCGUGCUCAUCUUCCUCCUUUAUGUUUGGAUUGGAAGUGGAAUAGAGGCGAUUCGAUUUUGCAUUCCGUUUAUUGUUUGCCUAGAGCGCGUCGGUUUAACUGGAUCUGCCAGCCAGUAGAUUCACAGAUUCAUCGUGCUAUUGCGUUCUGCGCGGAGAUUUUGGGGGUAGGUUUUCAAUGGGGAAAUCACCUGCUCCUCACGGAUCCAAGCCUUAUUAAUGGAACAGUUGGUUGAUUCUAGUUCUCAACGAAUUAGUGGUGGUUGUCUCUUGAUUUGGUAACGACCUCACCCUUGGUUUGGUAGAGUUGUUUGUGUCUAUGCCAGGAGGGGAACAUGGAGUAAAUCACUCAAUUCAUACUGCAUCUUCAUGCUUGGCAGUAAUUUAUUUCAAACUACUCGUCAAAUUUGGGAACUCAUGACCCUGGAACAGUAAUGUGUAUCACACAUCACCAUCUUGUUAGCCUAACAGGGUAGAGCUGAAGUUUAAGCCUGCAUUUCCAAUUGUUACUCUUAACGGGAUUGUUGUACCAAUUUAGCAUGCUUCCCUGGAGUAAGCUAUAAUAAUAAAAGAAAUUUGACACAUUGCUGUACUACUUUAUUUUUCUCAAAUUACCAUGUCGCUUUCUUGCCGCUUUGCCAGCCAUUCACGAGAUAUGCAUUGGACCUGGUCCUGGCAUGUUACAUGUGCCUUCUCUAUAUUAUUGAUAAUCACCACACGUAACAUGUAUCUACUGUAGACGUGUGAGCUAUCUGCACACUUUACAGUUAUGCAAUGCACAUCGUCGUGUUAUGAUUCCAUUGUUAUGGUGAUUAUUUGCUUAAGCUGAAAUACAUGUGCACUGGGAGCGUCCAAUUGCUUGUGCUGCGUGCUGAUGAUGGAAAGUUUUCCCCUCAAUUUCUAACCAUCAAACUGUUUCCUUGCAGUGGCCAUGUUGAGAACUAUACGAGUGACUACACCGUACAGGUGUUGAUAGGUUACUGUGUUGUGUACAUUUUCAUGCAGACCUUCAUGAUCCCAGGGACAAUAUUCAUGUCAUUGCUUGCUGGUGCUCUAUUCGGGCAACUCCAGGGCGUGGCUCUGGUUGUCUUUGCUGCCUCCGCUGGUGCUUCUUCAUGCUAUUUCCUGUCAAAACUGAUUGGAAAACCGCUGGUGUUCGUGCUGUGGCCAGACAAGCUCAUGUUUUUCCGGAAGCAGGUAAUAAGUUCAGCACCAACAUUAGUGGAUGCGGGUUUUAUUUCAACACUAUGUAGCGUAAUAACAUCUUAAAUUUCUGUGGGGAUACUUAAAAAUAUCUUGAAUCGCUCUACUCUUUGAUUUAAGAUCCUUCAGGAUUGUGUAGUAACUCAUAACUGAAUUGGGUGAUUUGUCUUCAUUUCCAGGUUGCCAAAAGAAGAGAAAAGCUGUUGAAUUACAUGCUUUUCCUGAGGGUCACCCCAACAUUGCCAAAUACCUUCAUCAACUUAGCAUCUCACAUUGUUAAUGUGCCCUUCCAUACCUUCUUAUUGGCAACUCUUAUCGGUCUCAUCCCAGCAGCCUACGUGACCGUGAGGGUAAGUUUUCAGGUUCACAUAUGAUGCCUACUAAUAUACUGCAUUUAGUGUGUAUACAUUGUUUGUUCCAAUUUAAAUCUCACUGCCUGGUUCAUUUCAUGUGUUCAGGCUGGGAUUGCUCUGGGAGAGCUAACAUCGCUCAGCGACCUGUACGACACCCAGUCAGUAGCUCUGCUGUUCUUGAUCGGCGUCGUCUCAGUCACACCAGCAUUGCCGAGGAAGGACGAGGUUCAAGAAAAGGCACCAGAAAUCGCAGCAGGCGCCUCAUGAACACCAAAGAGGAGCCACCUAGCCACCUAUACAUACCAAGGCACAGCAUGCGGCGGCUUCAUUGGAUUUGGGCCUACAGGCCUUGUGAGGCGGAUGACACAUGGUUUGCUUGUUCACAUGACAACACAGCACCACGGCGGGACCUUGGACCCUAAGUCCGCCCAUCACCCGCCUGCCGGAGAUCUGCGUCGCCAUGGGAACACUGUAUAUUCAUGUCAUUUUCAUGCAGACCUUCAUGAUCCCAGGGACAAUAUUCAUGUCAUUGCUUGCUGGUGCCCUAUUCGGGCAACUCCGGGGCGUGGCUCU
This 2250-nucleotide long non-coding RNA is filed under the name Hordeum vulgare. RNAcentral describes it as "long non-coding RNA (HVUL_LNC003849)". The record is from RNAcentral. Lineage: Eukaryota; Viridiplantae; Streptophyta; Magnoliopsida; Poales; Poaceae.